ACUUGUACCGACUGGAUGAGCAGCGAACGGGUGAGUAACGCGUGGGGAAUCUGCCUUUGAGCGGGGGACAACAUUUGGAAACGAAUGCUAAUACCGCAUAAAAACUUUAAACACAAGUUUUAAGUUUGAAAGAUGCAAUUGCAUCACUCAAAGAUGAUCCCGCGUUGUAUUAGCUAGUUGGUGAGGUAAAGGCUCACCAAGGCGAUGAUACAUAGCCGACCUGAGAGGGUGAUCGGCCACAUUGGGACUGAGACACGGCCCAAACUCCUACGGGAGGCAGCAGUAGGGAAUCUUCGGCAAUGGACGAAAGUCUGACCGAGCAACGCCGCGUGAGUGAAGAAGGUUUUCGGAUCGUAAAACUCUGUUGGUAGAGAAGAACGUUGGUGAGAGUGGAAAGCUCAUCAAGUGACGGUAACUACCCAGAAAGGGACGGCUAACUACGUGCCAGCAGCCGCGGUAAUACGUAGGUCCCGAGCGUUGUCCGGAUUUAUUGGGCGUAAAGCGAGCGCAGGUGGUUUAUUAAGUCUGGUGUAAAAGGCAGUGGCUCAACCAUUGUAUGCAUUGGAAACUGGUAGACUUGAGUGCAGGAGAGGAGAGUGGAAUUCCAUUGGUAGCGGG
Molecule: ribosomal RNA, 618 nt
Filed under: Lactococcus lactis
Lineage: Bacteria; Bacillati; Bacillota; Bacilli; Lactobacillales; Streptococcaceae
Description: bacterial SSU rRNA
Rfam family: Bacterial small subunit ribosomal RNA
Source: RNAcentral